UCUGACUUUGAAAGAGCAAGUAUCACAGACAGAUAAUAACAGUACUAAAGCAUCUCACAUUGAUGAGGCUCAGUUAUACUUUGAGGCAGUAGGUGGAGAGAAAAAAAGAAGGGUGUACAGUCUUGGAUCACAGGCUUCAAUUUUCUUCCCAAACAAGCCUUCUGCUAGUACAUCCUUCACAUUAGCUCAGCAAAAUCAGGAUCUUCAAGAUGAAAUGGCUAAUCUCAGACGCAAGCUACAGGAGUGUGAGGAUAAUGAAUAAGUAUUGCAUGAGCAAAACGUGCGGAUUACCUCUAAGCUCUCACAGGUGAAGGAUUUACUUAGGCAGCUCGUGAGUCAAGGGUAAGACAGCCAACCUUCAGCUCCUGGUGAGGGAACUUCUGCACAUCCUCCUGAUCAAGCAGAUGAAGCUAAUGAUGAGGACGAGGACGAGAACACUACACAUUUAUAGUUUCUUUUUUCAUUACCC
This 469-nucleotide long non-coding RNA is filed under the name Manihot esculenta (cassava). RNAcentral's name for it is "long non-coding RNA (MESC_LNC007129)". The record is from RNAcentral. Lineage: Eukaryota; Viridiplantae; Streptophyta; Magnoliopsida; Malpighiales; Euphorbiaceae.